AGUACUUUGAGAAAUAAAUGGACAAAUAACAAAAGGACGAAAGGGGGGUGCUGACGUCACACACUGUGCUGCCCAUGACAAUGCCUGAAAGGAGAGGAAGACAGGACGAUUGCAACUCUCUCUCUCUUUCUGUCACCAUCUCUGCACCGUCAGGAAAGAGACAGCACAAUUUUUGGCAGGGUGACGCUGGAUUAUUGCACUGGUCCGGCUGCGUCGUGUUUUCUCCACAGCUGAGCAGGAUAUAGUACAGCAUUACCGCAAACUUUGACCACAAGUGCUGUGACAAGUCUCUGUCUCGCUCUCUUUGUCCUGGCGCCUCGGGUUUAACUUUCUCACUCUGCCCUCCUGCUUCGGCACAGCAAGAACUCUUUGAAAAGGACUCAAAGUUUUCAAAAAAGAAGCUUGAAUUGGUUUCACCUGGGAAAGCUGACAAUCGUGGACUUGCUUUCAGGAUCCCGACUUUUAAUUCAAUUUGAACAUGCACAUAGCAAAGGCACGAACAAAAGUUGAUGAGCACAAAUGCCUAUGGAUAAACAUCCAACAUAUAUUGCAUGAAGCAUGCAGGCAAUGGGAGGACAGCUAAAGAUGCAGCGAAUGACUUCUGUAAAACAGGAAUCGAAAGGCUUGUACCUGGGACAGAUGCCAAACGCUGACAAAAGACUCUUUCGGGAGCCUUAACUUUUUAUUUCAGGACGUGUGUCAGAUCGUGAUUUGGCACUCUGAGUAAGUACAUGUACCUGAUAUCAACAUUUUCUCUUUAAGCGACGCCCCGCUCCUGAGGGAUAGGUUGAGAUUUGCUUAUUUCGCUUGGUUUCGGACCAAGUUCCACUCCUCGCCUCCAGGCCCGAGCCAGGUGACGGUGUUUAGCAUUUUGUGCCAACACCCAUAGAGGUAUUAAACAUGGAGGACUGGCUGCUAACCCAACAACAACAGACGAAGCCAAAGAGCGAGCCGCAAGGUGGUCUCAAGAGUUGCCGCCUUGUUUUCUUUUCCUUUCUCAUGCUGUUGUGACCUCUCUUCUCUUGGCAGCGGGGCUGAAGUGGGCAGGCGAAUAGGAGGGCAUAGCUGAAUCUGCUCAGCGCUGGCAGGGGUUCGUGUAAGAAGGGCUGUUCGCUCGCACACCUCUCUCUCUGCUUUUCCCCUUGUCUUGCGAGCGACGUGGAAACGGUCUCUCCUCUUUUUUCUUCCUCCCUGCUGUUUCUUUUUCCGGUCGUCGUACAGUACAGUCGUACUUUUUACCCCAUCCGGAGUCUCCCGCGAUGGUCCGCGAAAAGCUCUCACUCAGGAACAAAGUCACAGACCCUUUAUCGGGAAAAAUAUUUUGGUAAUCACCUGCAAUUCUGAAGCAAUAACACCAGAAACAGCAUCACAUUAUGAAGAAAAAGAGCCUUGUGGAUAACAGCCGAACCCUGGGACAUCCAGCUGUAAUUACGGCUGCCUGACACUCACCAGAGCAGUGUAUCACUUCUUGAUUUCUCAGCCCUUUAACUGAUCCAACAUCUCAAUUAUGAGACUCUCCACCGGGUCCCCGCUGUCUCGGCCAACUGCCAGGCCAAAACAUUUCAAUCACUGCCAUUAAUUAGGCCAAAGAGGAAUUCAGAAUGUUAAUGUCCUGCCCCAGUGUCUUUCAGUUCCUCGGUUCACAUGCUAAUUUAUGCAAAGACACGGUGCCGCCGUCCCGCCCCUUUGCCAUGGCAGUCCAUUCUUUUGGUCCCCCCCGGGUGACCCCCGUCUGCCACCACAGCUCCAUCAUGCUGGGACGCCAUCAUCUGUGUAUUAUA
Molecule: long non-coding RNA, 1781 nt
Organism: Sinocyclocheilus rhinocerous
Lineage: Eukaryota; Metazoa; Chordata; Actinopteri; Cypriniformes; Cyprinidae
Exons: 3
Source: RefSeq, a predicted model, not a curated record